This 467-nucleotide ribosomal RNA is filed under the name uncultured bacterium. Its description in RNAcentral is "partial 16S ribosomal RNA". It matches the Rfam family "Bacterial small subunit ribosomal RNA", at positions 28 to 507 of the family's 1533-position model. The record is from RNAcentral.
GACGAACGCUGGCGGCGUGCUUAACACAUGCAAGUCGAACGGAAAGGCCUCUUUCGGGGGGUACUCGAGUGGCGAACGGGUGAGUAACACGUGAGUAACCUGCCCUUGACUUUGGGAUAACUUCAGGAAACUGGGGCUAAUACCGGAUAGGAGCUCCUGCUGCAUGGUGGGGGUUGGAAAGUUUCGGCGGUUGGGGAUGGACUCGCGGCUUUUCAGCUUGUUGGUGGGGUAGUGGCUUACCAAGGCUUUGACGGGUAGCCGGCCUGAGAGGGUGAGCGGCCACAUUUGGCAUUAACUACGGCCCAGACUCCUACGGGAGGCCAACGUGGGGAAUAGUGCAAAAUGGGUGGACGCCUGAUGCAGCAACGCCGUGUGAAGGAAAACGGCCUUCGGGUUGUGAGCCGCUUACGAUCAUGACGAGGCUUUGUGUGACGGUAGUGGGUAAAGAAGCAACGGCUAACUACGUG